ACGAAGGGUGCGAGCGUUAAUCGGAAUUACUGGGCGUAAAGCGCGCGUAGGUGGUUUGGUAAGCGAUAUGUGAAAUCCCCGGGCUUAACCUGGGAGCUGCAUUCGAAACUGUCUUGCUAGAGUAUGGGAGAGGGAGGUGGAAUUUCAGGUGUAGCGGUGAAAUGCGUAGAUAUCUGAAGGAACAUCAGUGGCGAAAGCGACCUCCUGGACCAAUACUGACGCUCAGGUGCGAAAGCGUGGGGAGCAAACAGGA
RNAcentral lists this ribosomal RNA (253 nucleotides) under uncultured prokaryote. RNAcentral describes it as "partial 16S ribosomal RNA". It matches the Rfam family "Bacterial small subunit ribosomal RNA", at positions 525 to 777 of the family's 1533-position model. The record is from RNAcentral.